GGUUCUAUAGUGUAGUGGUUAUCACAUUUGCUUAACACGCAAAAGGUCCUGAGAUCGAUGCUCAGUGGAACCA
This is a transfer RNA of Selaginella moellendorffii, 73 nucleotides long. It matches the Rfam family "tRNA". From Rfam's summary of the family: Transfer RNA (tRNA) molecules are approximately 80 nucleotides in length. Their secondary structure includes four short double-helical elements and three loops (D, anti-codon, and T loops). The record is from Rfam. NCBI's taxonomy places the organism in Eukaryota, Viridiplantae, Streptophyta, Lycopodiopsida, Selaginellales, Selaginellaceae.